CAAGAGCGGAAAAUCCAAAAGGUUCUCACGGAUGUCAAACGAGAAAUGGACUGCUGCGACCGCCUGUCUCAUGUCGGCAAUCCGUCAUCUGAAAAUGCACGGCGACACGAAAAAGGAGGGGACUGGUCACUCGAUGCAAAAUUGAUGGACUUUUGGAUGGAAGGGAAAGAUGAAGGAAAAGAAGAAGAAGCAGAAAAAGAAUUGACAAUGAGAAUUCUUGACGUUGAAAUUAUUCAACACAUACUACUAAAGUACUCGAAGGAGGAUACUGAACAAAG
This is a non-coding RNA of Caenorhabditis elegans, 278 nucleotides long. The record is from Ensembl. Lineage: Eukaryota; Metazoa; Nematoda; Chromadorea; Rhabditida; Rhabditidae.